Molecule: ribosomal RNA, 484 nt
Filed under: uncultured bacterium
Lineage: Bacteria
Description: bacterial SSU rRNA
Rfam family: Bacterial small subunit ribosomal RNA
Source: RNAcentral
GAUGAACGCUGGCGGCGUGCUUAAUACAUGCAAGUCGAACGGAGACUGUAGCAAUACUGUCUUAGUGGCGAACGGGUGAGUAACGCGUUGGUGACCUGCCCCGAAGAGAGGGAUAACAGUCCGAAAGGAUUGCUAAUACCCCAUGUGGUCGUUUGGAUUAGAUGCCUUAUGACUAAACGGAUUUAUUCGCUUCGGGAGGGGCCUGCGUCCCAUCAGCUAGUUGGUGAGGUAAUAGCUUACCAAGGCGAUGACGGGUAGGGGACCUGAGAGGGUGGCCCCCCACAAUGGAACUGAAACACGGUCCAUACACCUACGGGUGGCAGCAGUAGGGAAUAUUGGUAAUCUGGGAAACCGGGACCAGCAACGCCGCGUGCGCGAUGACGGCCUUCGGUUGUAAGCGCUUUUAAAGGUAUGAGGAAGGACAGUACCUUAGAAUAAGCCUCGGCUAACUACGUGCCAGCAGCCGCGGUAAUGAGUAAGUACA